ACUUUAGAUAACUUUUCAAGUGUAGGUCUUUUAAACCUAAAAAAGUAUUUUUAAUACUUCUAGAG
Molecule: transfer RNA, 65 nt
Filed under: Cherax destructor
Lineage: Eukaryota; Metazoa; Arthropoda; Malacostraca; Decapoda; Parastacidae
Description: tRNA-Lys
Source: RNAcentral